Long non-coding RNA from Salvia miltiorrhiza (redroot sage), 1112 nucleotides. RefSeq lists it as uncharacterized. The record is from RefSeq and is a predicted model, not a curated record. NCBI's taxonomy places the organism in Eukaryota, Viridiplantae, Streptophyta, Magnoliopsida, Lamiales, Lamiaceae. The transcript is spliced from 4 exons.
GAUACAUCUGAUGGGUCCGGGACGCAUAUUUCUGGGACUCCCGAUACUCCCCAGGCCUCUGCUAGUAGUUCACGGGCUAGAAGACCUAUGGGCCCUACAGCUGCCGAUAUCAGAAAGAGAGCGGCUAAGGAGAGUACUGGGAGGUUGGUAUUUCAGAGGCAUCCUACGACUGGUGUGUUGGAGGAGCCCCUCGGCCUGUCCAAAGCUUGCACGCGCAUAUUUAAGAUGUUUGAUAACCCAGGCGGGUACACAUGGAAGUUGACGCCCCGGGCGAUGAAGGAUACAUUUUUUGGUGAAUUAUAGAAAGAGUUUAGUUGGCAGCCUGGGGAUGAGCAUGACGUGAGGAAAAUGUGGGAGAAAAACGCCCGCAAAAGGUACUCCGACAUGAUGAGCGACUACAAGAAAGAGCUCAAGGAGUGUACCCGCCAAGGGAGAGAGAUGUCUAGACCCGUCUGGAUGACUCCCGAUUUUUGGACUGGACUCCAGGAAUACUGGCAGCGUCCCGAGGUUGAGGCUGUUUCUACACGAGCACGUGCCAACCGGAUGUCCGAGCCCGAUGGGGAGGGUACAGGGAUCAGUAAGCACGUGGGCGGGUCUCAGUCGACUCGUAUCCUGCAGCAGUAUAUGAGCUUGGAGCCUGAUUUUCCCCAGGAUGCACCGAACUAUGCCACCUUCCUCCGCCUCCACAUGUACGCCGAUGAAAGUUAUACGUCGGAGAGAGAUGCAAGAAUUGACGUAAGUGUUUAAGUUUAUUCAAAUAUUUAGUGAAUGUAUUUAUUUUCUAACAAUUAUGCAUUGUUAUGUAUGAAUUAGGCCGAGGUUCAUCGACUGGCCGCUGCCACAAGACGAGAGUCACGGCUAGAUGAGGUGUAUUUGAAGGUGGUGCAUCCGGAUAGGUCACGGAUCUACGGCGUCGGGAUUGCCGGGCAGAGUCAGGCUAGUAGGGGGUCUAUCCGCAGCACGGGCACUUCUACGGUGUCUCAGCAGCUUUAUGAGACACGGAUCUCCACGCUGGAGGAGCGAUUGGCGGCAGAGCAAGCAGCACGCCAAGAGAUGCAGGACCGCAUGGCUCAAUUGAAGGCGUUUAUAAGGAUGUAUAAUGCUCAGCCACC